UGGGGAAUUUUGGGCAAUGGGCGAAAGCCUGACCCAGCAACGCCGCGUGAAGGAUGAAGUAUUUCGGUAUGUAAACUUCGUAAGAAUAGGAAGAAUAAAUGACGGUACUAUUUGUAAGGUCCGGCUAACUACGUGCCAGCAGCCGCGGUAAUACGUAGGGACCAAGCGUUGUUCGGAUUUACUGGGCGUAAAGGGCGCGUAGGCGGCAAUUCAAGUCAUCUGUGAAAUCUCCGGGCUUAACUCGGAACGGUCAGAUGAUACUGCUUUGCUAGAGUGCAGAAGGGGCAAUCGGAAUUCUUGGUGUAGCGGUGAAAUGCGUAGAUAUCAAGAGGAACACCUGAGGUGAAGACGGGUUGCUGGGCUGACACUGACGCUGAGGCGCGAAAGCCAGGGGAGCAAACGGGAUUAGAUACCCACGUAGUCCCUGAGCGGGCUGGCAAGGCGCAU
This 447-nucleotide ribosomal RNA is filed under the name uncultured bacterium. RNAcentral's name for it is "bacterial SSU rRNA". It matches the Rfam family "Bacterial small subunit ribosomal RNA", at positions 355 to 825 of the family's 1533-position model. The record is from RNAcentral.